Molecule: long non-coding RNA, 706 nt
Filed under: Salmo salar (Atlantic salmon)
Lineage: Eukaryota; Metazoa; Chordata; Actinopteri; Salmoniformes; Salmonidae
Description: lncRNA (ENSSSAG00000105674.1)
Source: RNAcentral
CCUGUCCCUCCCGCGGGGCCCGUUGGCUGACCACCUCUCCUCUGAUGGGCGUGGCUGUGGGCGUGGCUGUGGGUGUGGCGGGAGGGAGGAUCAGAAGAGUUUCAGCAUGACAAUGUCCCUGUGCACAAAGCAAGUUCCAUACUGAAAUGGUUUGUUGACUCGAGAUUGAUGUGGAAGAACUUGGCUGGCCUGCACAGAGCCCUGACCUCAACCACAUCGAACACCUUUGGGAUGAAUUGGAACGUCGACUGCGAGCCAGGCCUAAUCUCCCAACAUCAGUGACCGACCUCACUAAUGCUCUUGGGCUGAAUGGAAACAAGUCCCCGCAGCAAUGUUCCAACAUCUAGUGGAAAUCCUUCCCAGAAGAGUGGAGGCUGUUAUAGCAGCAAAGAGCACUGGCCAACCCUCAGAGCCUGAUUCCUCUCUAGGUUUCUUCCUAGGUUCCUGCCUUUCUAGGGAGUUUUUCCUAGCCACCGUGCUUCUACAUCUGCAUUGCUUGCUGUCUGGGGUUUUAGGCUGGGUUCCUGUAUAAGCACUUUGUGACAUUUGCUGAUGUUAAAAGGGCUUUAUAAAUCAUGAUUGAUUGAUUCAAUUGGACUAGUUAUUUUCAGAGGUGUACAAAAGAGUAAGCAAUAAAACUAAAUAAGAAAACCAAAAACCUUCUAAUACAAUAACAUAUUUACUUACAAACUCAGCUAUUACACUU